AUCUUCCGCAAUGGACGAAAGUCUGAUGCAGCAACGCCGCGUGGAGGAUGACACAUUUCGGUGCGUAAACUCCUUUUAUAUGGGAAGAUAAUGACGGUACCAUAUGAAUAAGCACCGGCUAACUCCGUGCCAGCAGCCGCGGUAAUACGGAGGGUGCAAGCGUUACUCGGAAUCACUGGGCGUAAAGAGCGUGUAGGCGGAUAAAUAAGUCAGAAGUGAAAUCCAAUAGCUUAACUAUUGAACUGCUUUUGAAACUGUAUAUCUAGAAUGUGGGAGAGGUAGAUGGAAUUUCUGGUGUAGGGGUAAAAUCCGUAGAGAUCAGAAGGAAUACCGAUUGCGAAGGCGAUCUACUGGAACAUUAUUGACGCUGAGACGCGAAAGCGUGGGGAGCAAACAG
This 397-nucleotide ribosomal RNA is filed under the name uncultured bacterium. RNAcentral describes it as "bacterial SSU rRNA". It matches the Rfam family "Bacterial small subunit ribosomal RNA", at positions 361 to 775 of the family's 1533-position model. The record is from RNAcentral.